UUCAUGAAGAAGCGAUGAGCUGUAAACACAGGGGAAUCCCUCGAUUAUUCGCAACCUCCGGUGAUGCUCUUUAUCGCUUGUUCCAGUUCGCAAGUACCUUGGUCGAGUGAGAAUCGUUCUUUGUAGUCAGUUGUAGUGAAACAUUUGUUGGAGAACAUUCAGAACUUUUGGGUUUUGUGCGUAACUUUUCUUCUAAGUAAAAUGAAGAUAAGCUCGGUGUUUGAAAUCGUCACGCGAAUCGUGAUCCUCGCUUUGGUUGGGCUAAGUUUGACUAGUGCUGCUCCUGUGCAAGAUGACAGCGAUAUGAAGCUAGUGAGAGUUGCUCGCCAUCCAGCGACGACCUACAAAUAUCAAGACGCGAUAGCUGCCUAUACAUUUUCCCCGUUCGCUCCGAAGACUAGCCCUACGACGACCACUACGACUACGCCGAUUCCCAUCACGACAACGAAGAAGCCGUGGUGGAAACUUUGGAGAUAAUCUACCAUGUGUUAAAUGCAUUAUGAAACAGGUCUUUGUUCUUGAAUCAAUACAGAAUUAUCAGAUUAAUUAAAGAA
This is a long non-coding RNA of Aedes aegypti (yellow fever mosquito), 554 nucleotides long. RefSeq lists it as uncharacterized. The transcript has 3 exons. NCBI's taxonomy places the organism in Eukaryota, Metazoa, Arthropoda, Insecta, Diptera, Culicidae. The record is from RefSeq and is a predicted model, not a curated record.